Pezoporus flaviventris is the source of this 1446-nucleotide long non-coding RNA. RefSeq lists it as uncharacterized. The record is from RefSeq and is a predicted model, not a curated record. NCBI's taxonomy places the organism in Eukaryota, Metazoa, Chordata, Aves, Psittaciformes, Psittacidae. The transcript has 2 exons.
AAGAUUAAACGGAGUUUCUCUCAUUAAAGCUUUACAAAUACCUUUUAAAUCCUAGUGCUUUUAAUGUAUGAGACAGCUGUGGAUGGCCCAGUACGCAGCCUAUGUAUACAGCACCCUACAGGACAAAAUAUGUAUGACUUGAGUAGUCACUGCGUGCAGCUGAAAAUGAGUGUAGUGUCACAGGAGGUUAUUUGAGGAUGAAUUGAAUAUGUUCCAGGGGAAUGUUUCUGGGGAAGUCUCUUGUUUCUAGACUGUCCUGGUGCUCUGUGGACAGGCUCCCGGCCGUGUGUUGUCUGUGCAGGUGUCCAGCAGGCCCCUUCCUCUUCUUUAUUUAUUUAUGUCCUCUUAAGGUUUGAUUACAGAACUCUCCGGUAGACAUGUGGUACCCCACCUUACUGUUUAACUACAGCAGCAGUUUGCAGCUGCUUAGUUUCGUAGAUUGUACAAAGAUAGCGUUCUUUUUUACCACAGAGAGUGUCUGUCUCCCAAAGGUGAUGUUGUCUUUAAGCACAGAGUGUGCCUUUUGAAGUCAUGGUAUUUCAAACCCUUUUUUUCUUGCAGCUUUGUGUUUCAAAGAGCCCAGGCAGGUUUGUGACGUACACUGAUGUUCAGGCGUCCUACAGAUACAAACGUGAUCAGUGGAAUUACUUCAAGCAGUUCUGCAAGCCCCAUGGUAACAGUCCUCACAAGGUCUGUAUGUAUCAGGAGGUGAUGGAAUACUUCCAUGUGGUUGCAGCACUGUGGCAAGUGUCCUUUAGUACUUAAGUACUCCAUAGCAGUAGAGCAGAGUGUCUCAAACCAGUUCUUAAGGCUCCUGAGUCAUAUAGAGCUCCUCAGUAAUUCAGCUAGGAAAAGAAGUCUGUCUUUCAUGGAAGUGAUUUUGGACUCAAAUGUACUGUGUUAUUUCUCCUAUCUCUAAACCACCUUGCAAUUCAGCUAUGUUAGUUGUGUUAAAUUCUUACUCUAAGAGAAAAGCACGGGGGAAGCGAGCAACGAUCACCCAGUCAUUGCUGCCUCACCUGCCGAUCCAAAGUGAACAGGUCUUUUCUGUCACUAGAAAAGUAAAGAAUAGUCUCUUCCCAAAUCACAUUGAGAGAGGUUGGAUUCUCACAUCAUGAAUGUGUCUUGCAGCUCCACCAGUCAAGUUUGGGAAGGAGGCUACAGAGUCCAUUUUGGGGCAUUUUCUCAGAGUGUGUAAGAAACAAAAUUAAGUUAUUCUGCUGUGUAUUCAACAUUCCGAUAUUUCCCCUUUUUAGUCUGCUGCUCAAGUCCUUCAUGAUGAAGAUUGUCCUUUGAUGAUCAUUCCAAGCAGGCCUUAGAGCCAUCCAUGGACACUCAGAGUGUGAUUGGGUCAAACUGAGCUCUUUCUUGCUCUUAAAUUAUCACUGAUAAGAAAUGCUUUACAGCGCAAACUGUGCCUUCUAAAACAUGUGAGCACCCAACCCA